AGUGGGGCUAUAUAGAAUAGAUAAAUAAACUUUGUGAUAAGUUAUUGAUUGGUUAUUGAUAAUCUUGAGAAUUAGACUGAUGAUUAGGUAGUUUAAUUGGUAACAUUAGGUUGUUAGUAGAAUACAUGGUUAAGAAUUCAAACGGUCAUAACCUUUGGAAUCUACUAGUUGAUGAUCCAUCUUUUGGUAGGAUAAAGAGGUUGACAAAAGAGAGAU
Molecule: long non-coding RNA, 216 nt
Filed under: Physcomitrium patens
Lineage: Eukaryota; Viridiplantae; Streptophyta; Bryopsida; Funariales; Funariaceae
Description: long non-coding RNA (PPAT_LNC011432)
Source: RNAcentral